This 81-nucleotide transfer RNA is filed under the name Ectobacillus funiculus. RNAcentral's name for it is "tRNA-Leu". It matches the Rfam family "tRNA". Rfam says of the family: Transfer RNA (tRNA) molecules are approximately 80 nucleotides in length. Their secondary structure includes four short double-helical elements and three loops (D, anti-codon, and T loops). Further hydrogen bonds mediate the characteristic L-shaped molecular structure. tRNAs have two regions of fundamental functional importance: the anti-codon, which is responsible for specific mRNA codon recognition, and the 3' end, to which the tRNAs corresponding amino acid is attached (by aminoacyl-tRNA synthetases). tRNAs cope with the degeneracy of the genetic code in two manners: having more than one tRNA (with a specific anti-codon) for a particular amino acid; and 'wobble' base-pairing, i.e. permitting non-standard base-pairing at the 3rd anti-codon position. RNAcentral also lists the same sequence under 3 other names. Lineage: Bacteria; Bacillati; Bacillota; Bacilli; Caryophanales; Bacillaceae. The record is from RNAcentral.
GCGGGUGUGGCGGAAUUGGCAGACGCACCAGACUUAGGAUCUGGCGCCUUUGGCGUGGGGGUUCGAGUCCCUUCACCCGCA